Long non-coding RNA from Sander lucioperca (pikeperch), 102 nucleotides. RefSeq lists it as uncharacterized. NCBI's taxonomy places the organism in Eukaryota, Metazoa, Chordata, Actinopteri, Perciformes, Percidae. The record is from RefSeq and is a predicted model, not a curated record. The transcript has 3 exons.
AGUGACAUCAGCGGCAAAGUGACAUCAUCAGUGGCGAUGUGACAUCAUCAUAACAGAUGUGUCGGCUCACGGCGGGCGUCUUCACAGGGGUUUGGAACAGAA